CUUUUUCUUUCAGUUGUCAAAAUGUUACCAUUAUUGCUGGGAUUCUAAGAAAUCUCUACAAAUGCCUCUGAUGACAUCAGAAACAAUUGGUUCUAAUCCUGUGAACUCUCUUGUGAAGAAAGCAUGAGACUCCUUCGGUUUAGAAGCCAUAUCUUUCAGGUCAUCCAGAGGUGCCCAAGCCACACCAACAGAGAAGAUAGUGAUUCCUACAAUGAAAACAUUUUAAAGUGAAUUGAAAAUCAGGUCUAGCUAAUAUAUGGAAUUAUGUCUAUAUGUUUUCCAUACACUGUUACAUAGUUGCAGCGAAAACUGCUUACUAAUUUCUGGACAAUUAAAUCCCCUGAACAAAUUAAGUUUUCACAGUCAUUGUGACGAGAGUGGCAAAAGAGUGGUCCAAACCAGAAACUCUGCUAUAUCUGUAAUUCGCCACAUUAACAGUAAAUGCGGAUGGUGAAAAUUUUCCGUAUGAGGUUGGCCUGCAUCAAACAGUAUACUGGAGUCAGAGUCACAAUCCAUUAAAGCAAGGAAGAAUGGCACAAGAGAUGGGAUAAAACAAGGACCUUACCUGCAUCAUGUGCAGCAGCUGCAGGGCCUUGGACAUCAUCAUAGGACUGCCCAUCUGUGACAAUUACUAGGAAGUUCUUGUUGGGGCUCUCCCUUAUAGGGCCAAACACAUUUCUAACAGUGAAGGAAAUGGCAUCACCAGUAGCUGUUCCACCACUCAUAUAGCGGAUGUUUCUGAUGACAGCUAGGACAUUCUCUUUGGUGCUAUAGUCAGUGAAACUGAACUCCGUGCGCUGAUCAUAAGUAAACUGUACAGCAGCUAUCUUGGCACCAAUGUCCGAGAUUUCAAAAGUCUUGGCUAUGUUGGAAACAAAUUCAAGCAUGAGGCGGAAAUUGCUAUCUCCAACACUGCUGGAGCCAUCAAUUAGAAAGGCAAUGUUCACUGAGUUAUAACAGGUCUUGCUGCACAUCAUUUGUUCAUGAGUGCACAGCUUCUGUACCAGAGGCUUUACGUAUUUUGUGGUGCCAAACCAGUUGGGCAUGUGGUAAGAGAAGAAGCCAUUAUUCCGACAGACAGCCUAAUGGGGGAGACACAUAAAAGAUAUCCAAAAGGAUCAAAAGUUGUUUCUUCUUAAAAACUGGAAAAUCCUGAAUGUUUCAAGUUAAUCUAGAUAAGAGGCAGUCAGCACUGCACUUAGAGGUCCAAAAUGGAAUACCCAUCACUGUAACAGAAGAUAACCCUCACCACUUUACCUUGUCAACAAAUGUGACAUCCUGAACCAUCCCCAGUUCUUCAGGGAUAGGCUUGGCCACAGAAACUAUAAAUACAUUGACACCAAACUCUCUGGCCACAAUGCCUGCUUCCUCGAUGUCAUCAGAAGGCCAACCAUCAAUAAAUACCACCACCACUUUGGGGAUCCCUUUUCUUACUCCAGCAUCUACCGUGAAGAAUUUCUGAGCAGUAUGCUUCAAGGCUUUUCCUAAAUUUGAAAAAGAAGCAAACAAAUAGCCUUUACCACUGCUCAAACCACAUUUCUGUUUCCCUGUAGCAUUUGAUGCUGCAAAGUUUAAGAAUUAUAUAUAGAACUGGCAGUGGGGCGGGGCACACAAAAAAGAAUUAUAUAGAACCCAGUUCUGUAACAGAUGCAUCAGCUGGGAAAGUUUAAUUAUCUACCAGGCCUAUUUAUCUUCACAAGCCAUAUUAGUUCCCCCUCCACCUCCUAGAAGCCUCACAUUUGUUUACCCCACAUCAAUCGCCAGUUAGAAACACAAAACUGAUUCCCACUUCCAUGCAUGUGCUCUCUAUGUAGCCCUUUGGUGACUGAUUAGUACCUCUAAGAAGUCUCUCUUCAGAGUCAACGGUAGUGCUACUCAUUCUUUC
RNAcentral lists this long non-coding RNA (1885 nucleotides) under Homo sapiens (human). RNAcentral's name for it is "non-protein coding lnc-STRN3-1:6". The record is from RNAcentral. Lineage: Eukaryota; Metazoa; Chordata; Mammalia; Primates; Hominidae.